RNAcentral lists this RNase P RNA (344 nucleotides) under bacterium. Its description in RNAcentral is "RNase P RNA component class A". It matches the Rfam family "Bacterial RNase P class A". From Rfam's summary of the family: Ribonuclease P (RNase P) is a ubiquitous endoribonuclease, found in archaea, bacteria and eukarya as well as chloroplasts and mitochondria. Its best characterised activity is the generation of mature 5'-ends of tRNAs by cleaving the 5'-leader elements of precursor-tRNAs. Cellular RNase Ps are ribonucleoproteins. The record is from RNAcentral.
UUGGUGACUGAUUACGUGGCUGCGCAAGCAGAGGAAAGUCCGGGCUUCAGUGUCAUCGUUGUUGCUAACGGCAACCCACCGCAAGGUGCGAGCUAGUGCCACAGAAACGAUACCUCCGGCGAAGCUCCAGAACGAAAGUAUCAGGAGCGGAGCCGGAAAGGGUGAAAUAGUGCGGUAAGAGCGCACUGGUUUGCUAGGUGACUAGCGAAUCGAGGUAAACCUAACGGGAAGCAAGGUGGGUUGGACUGUAGACACAUCAAAAGGUUGACACACCGUGUCUGUAGAACCCACCGCUUAGAUAGAUCACGUAAUAAACAAAACCCGGCUUAUCGGUCACCAGGGGU